Solanum tuberosum (potato) is the source of this 349-nucleotide long non-coding RNA. RefSeq lists it as uncharacterized. Lineage: Eukaryota; Viridiplantae; Streptophyta; Magnoliopsida; Solanales; Solanaceae. The record is from RefSeq and is a predicted model, not a curated record. The transcript is spliced from 2 exons.
CCUCUCUCAAAUAUUCUCUCUCUAGAAGGUGGAAGAAGAAGAAGGAGAUUGAAGCAAGGUCAAGAUCAAGUCUCCCAAUCUUCAAGCUUUUGUGGGCAUUGUGACUAAGGGUCCGGCGACAUUGAUUCUCACACUCUUGGCUAGCUUUGUUGUUGAUCAAGAAAGUGAAGUUUUGGUGAGUCCUCAUUGUGCUCGAGGAGGUGAUCACCACUUUCUUUUAUGCUUUCCCUUUAUGUCUUGGACUAUUGUAUGGACUGUGACCCAAGACAUUAUUCAUGUUGUUUAGAUGGUUUGAGACAAAUAUGUUAGACUUAUGCUCGUUUUAUGAAAGAAGUUGAUUGCAUUGAAA